UGAGGAAUAUUGGUCAAUGGGCGGCAGCCUGAACCAGCCAUCCCGCGUGAAGGAAGAAUGCGCUAUGCGUUGUAAACUUCUUUUUCAGGGGGAUAAAAUUCUGUAUGUAUACAGGACUGAAGGUACCCUGAGAAUACGCAUCUGCUAACUCCGUGCCAGCAGCCGCGGUAAUACGGAGGAUGCUAGCGUUAUCCGGAUUUAUUGGGUUUAAAGGGUGCUUAGGCGGAAUAAUAAGUCAGUGUUGAAACCCUGCAGCUUAACUGUAGACUUGUCAUUGAUACUGUGUGUCUUGAGUAUGGUCAAGGCAGGCGGAAUGUGUAAUGUAGCGGUGAAAUGCUUAGAUAUUACACAGAACACCGAUAGCGAAGGCAGCUUGCUGGGCCGUUACUGACGCUGAUGCACGAAAGCGUGGGGAUCGAACA
Molecule: ribosomal RNA, 422 nt
Filed under: uncultured prokaryote
Description: bacterial SSU rRNA
Rfam family: Bacterial small subunit ribosomal RNA
Source: RNAcentral